UACGUAGGGACCAAGCGUUGUUCGGAUUUACUGGGCGUAAAGGGCGCGUAGGCGGCUUGACAAGUCACUUGUGAAAUCUCCGGGCUUAACUCGGAACGGCCAAGUGAAACUGUCAUGCUAGAGUGCAGAAGGGGCAAUCGGAAUUCUUGGUGUAGCGGUGAAAUGCGUAGAUAUCAAGAGGAACACCUGAGGUGAAGACGGGUUGCUGGGCUGACACUGACGCUGAGGCGCGGAAGCCAGGGGAGCAAACGGG
Molecule: ribosomal RNA, 253 nt
Filed under: uncultured bacterium
Lineage: Bacteria
Description: partial 16S ribosomal RNA
Rfam family: Bacterial small subunit ribosomal RNA
Source: RNAcentral